ACUGCGAGGCAGGCAGUGAUGCUGCGGCCGCUUCGCACUGUGGCUCCUGCCGACCGCCAGGCGCUGUUACAGUGGAUGCGAACUAACCGUAAGUAUGCAGCAGCAGCCGGAACCCACAGUUCACCUUGGUGCAUUCCUUUAUGAUGAAGACUUAUUGAUUCAUUAUAUGAGAAAGGAAAAAUGAGCAGAAACUACUGUAUGAUGUGCAGCUCACACCAGACAGCAACUUUAGAGUAAUUUAUCCCUACUUACAGAGAGAUUGCCCUACGUGUAACAGCUGCAUACAAAAAAGUUAUAAAAUUAUCAUUGGUUUAACAAGGAUAAGUGAAAAACAUUAAAAUUCUCCAACUGAACAAGGUGUGUCUGUUUCAUUGAUUGGCUGACUGUCAAAUCGGAAUCUGAUCUGCCCCAUUGACAAUGCCUUGGGCUUUUCCUCGGCCAUGGCAAAUGCCAGAGUCUUCUCAGCUGCCGCUUCACAAAAGAGGUACCAGCUUCUCACUGAACGAACACAGUGCAGCACCAGGAGUGACAGAAGAAGGAGGCGGCAGCGGUGGUUGAGGGACAGGGUGCGUGCACGUCCAAGUACAGUUCUUAAAAUGUUGAGGGCAUACAACAUAUGCUCAAUAAAUACCUGAUUUUUAAAAAA
Molecule: long non-coding RNA, 646 nt
Organism: Homo sapiens (human)
Lineage: Eukaryota; Metazoa; Chordata; Mammalia; Primates; Hominidae
Source: Ensembl